This 253-nucleotide ribosomal RNA is filed under the name uncultured bacterium. RNAcentral's name for it is "partial 16S ribosomal RNA". It matches the Rfam family "Bacterial small subunit ribosomal RNA", at positions 524 to 776 of the family's 1533-position model. The record is from RNAcentral.
GACGUAGGGCGCGAGCGUUGUCCGGAUUUAUUGGGCGUAAAGAGCUCGUAGGCGGCUUGUCGCGUCGGAUGUGAAAGCCCGGGGCUUAACUCCGGGUCUGCAUUCGAUACGGGCAGGCUAGAGUUCGGUAGGGGAGAUCGGAAUUCCUGGUGUAGCGGUGAAAUGCGCAGAUAUCAGGAGGAACACCGAUGGCGAAGGCAGGUCUCUGGGCCACUACUGACGCUGAGAAGCGAAAGCAUGGGGAGCGAACAGG